CCCUUAGAUGUUCUGGGCCGCACGCGUGCUACACUGAGUGGAUCAGCGGGUCAGGUUGCGCGAAAGUGUUUCCUAAUCUUGAAAUCCGCUCGUGAUGGGGAUUGACGGUUGCAAUUUUCCGUCAUGAACGAGGAAUACCUUGUAAGCGCGGGUCAUCAUCCCGCGCUGAAUACGUCCCUGCCCUUUGUACACACCGCCCGUCGCACCUACCGAUUGAACGGACUGAUAAAAUCUUAGGACUGGUUGGCUUUGCGUGUGAGCGCGGGCUGCCCGGGAAUUUGAGUGAAUCACUUCGUUUAGAGGAAGGUGAAGUCGUAACA
This 320-nucleotide ribosomal RNA is filed under the name uncultured eukaryote. RNAcentral's name for it is "partial 18S ribosomal RNA". It matches the Rfam family "Eukaryotic small subunit ribosomal RNA", at positions 1470 to 1796 of the family's 1831-position model. The record is from RNAcentral.